UCAACUUCCAAACUAAAAAUAUUCGGCCCCAUUGAGAAAAUUUUCUUUAGAUCCAGUUAAUCAUGAAUUCAAGAGACUAACAAAUGAAAUUUAUGUAUUCAACAGAUAGGUGGCACCAUACAUCUUAUGUCUCUAUUUAAGAAGAAUCCAAGCUGCAUUUCCAUUUACCCACAUAAUAAGAAAAGACAAUAUUGGCACAUCAUAGCACUCAAUCCCUCCACAAUUCCUGCACAUUGUUGAUAGCAAAGCAAUCAAUGAACAAAAUCCAUAUUAAUUCUAAUUUUUCAAGCUAGUGCUUUCUUGCUUUCACCCAAUUGAAUGAAUCUGAUAUACAAGAAGCAAACUACGCCCAUCUUUGUCAUCCUCAAUAAUAAUACUCACUUGGUGCCUUUGAAUUGACUAAAAAGAUUUACAAAUCAUCAAAAACUGGGGCUGCAUUUCAGGUCCUCUCUAACUUCAUUUCCACCGAUCAGAGACUAUCCACCCAUAUCAACUGCAUCUAGAGAUAUUUUCUUGCAAGGGCGCGAACUUUAGUGUCAAAAUGGGAUGAAGUAAUGCGAGAACCAGCUAAGUAGAGGGGAUUAAGAAGAAUCUGCAGAAUUCCCAAUACAAUUUAUGAGGCCAUGUUAGUCAAUAAUCAACCACUUCAUGGAGAAGGAACAAAAGAUUAUUCAAUAGAAAAUUCUUAAGAGUACUAAGGUGAUUCAAGAACUUAAGCAACAAAAUGAAGUUAAUCAAUGAACAAAAUGACAGGGUAACUUCCUCAGAAUGUUUCACAGAUCACAAACAUAAGGCGCCAAGGUGGCAGGCAGGGGCAAUCAUCAUGAAGAAUAAAAAUUAAAAAGUUAAGGAUGGAAUAUAUUUUAUUCAGAGUUAAUUUUCGACACACUACGGAUUUAGGUUUGCUUAUGAAGUUGAGAUAACUUAGAUUUGAGUUGAUUCCAGAAACAAUCGAAUAACGGCAUUUCUUGGUUGCAGAUUAUCUUCUUGCCUUAUUGGAUAGCAAAAUAAGUAAGAAAACUUCAAGCAUAUGCAGAAAGUAACGUUGGCCUAGCACACGCAUGCAUGCAUACAGAUUGCAGAUCAAAUAUGCCAAUCACACUUGUUUAUUUCGCCACAUAGAAAACAAGAUCACCAAAAAGAGCAAAAAAGGAUCAUACUAUCAUACUAACAAUAUGAAAUUUGCCUUCACACCAUUUAAAUAUUCCAGCUUAUUGCUUGUUAGAUAUACAAUGACACCAGAAAGUAAAUAUAUCUGUUAGAAAGAACACAUUACAUGUAAUUUAUUUAUUUACUUUUGGGGGGAGAGGUGGGCAGGCAGGGCCCUGCAGGGGAAGGAAGUCAUGUACCUUUAUAUAUAGCUCAUGAACCUCCUGAAAAAAGCUCUUGAUUCCAUCAUCAUUGUGAGGAUUGUGAAGUAGCAUAAAUCGUGUAUGUAUGAGAAGUCAAAGAAAAUAUCAAAUAGGGCAAUUAUGUCAACAGAAAAUCCCACGCCGAAGCAACCAUGCCUUAAAUAGCUAAGAACAAGGAAAUUUUGACAAUAUAAGAAAUCAAAUGACUCCAUUGUCAAGUUAUCUGAUGUCUGCUUUAUGGUAACAGUAGCACUACCACAGCAACAAUAAAAACAACUAAGCCUUAAUCCUAAACAGUGGCACUAUCACAGCAAAGAGAAAUUAAUCUUAAAAAAAUUAAUAUUAUUUCAAUUUACAAAUUUUCAUAUUUCACAGGGUUUAAACCCACCACAGCACACAUAAAACAGAAAAUUGCAAAACCAUACCAUUAAGUAGAAUAGAAUACAAUAAGAAUGAUACUAGCCUCAAAAAUUCACAGUAUGCUUACUAGCGAACAUGCCAUUACAGACAAAAGGUGCCUAUGCACAAUGUUGAGAGUAGAUAAAACUAUGAAGGCCACCAUGUGAAUAACCAAUUACUGGUCAUGAUCCAGAACUUCAGCAUAUUUCAUCACCAACAAUAUGCAACAAUGCCGAAUUCUCCUACUCCUAAUGAGAGUUUUGACUGACGGUCACAUUUACUUAUCUUGAAACCAAGGAGCAUUUUAAGCAUCCAAACUCCAAAGAUGUACUUUACAAGUUAUAUUUAUGGAGAUAAUCCAGUAUAUCCUUUUGCUUGUGUCAUGAUAAAUCACAUUUUUAUCAACAAAAAAGAAAUUAAGAACAUCUAGUUUAAUUUGAGUCAUUUGCUUUAUUGGGGAAAUCACAAAAAAAAAAGGAUAUUACCAGCUGUAACAUAAACUGAUACCACCAGAUCAUUAAAGUUGUCAACCGCUUUCAAGAACAUGGCACUAGUGGUCCAAGCCAGGUCCUGGACAAUAUCCAGAGCUGCAUGCAAAAUAAAUUGAUGCAGCUGAGCAGCAUCUUCUCUCUGUCAUCAUGUAAUAAGAUGAGCAAUGAGGGUUUACACAACCAGUUAGUUCAUUAAGCCAUCAAAGUAUGAUUAUAUAACACAACCAAAGGAAGUGGAAGCCAACAACCAUAGUGAAUAGAGGAUGCAAAAAAAGAAGCCGGCAUAGACAAUCACUUCCACACAUAUCAUCAACUUGACUACAAAAAUGCACCAAUAGAAACUUCUUUUUCAUUUCCUUUACCGUAUUCUGCUGUAUACUCUUUACAUUAUAUUGGACAAGCAGUUUCACAACACAAAUAAAUUUUAGCACCUUGUUCACAAGCCUAAACUUAUGCAGAAUCCAAUAAACCUUCUAGGAUUAGAUCACUGAUGGAUGAAACAACAGCAUUGGAGUGUUGAUGCAACAAUUAUUUCAAUUCCACAUUCCAAUUUAUUUCCAAACAAAUCACAAGACCAACGAAACAAACUUCCUAACAGUCCGCUACUGAACCAGCCCAAGAGCCUCAUCCCCAGAUUUCUAGGUCUUUUAUUGGAGAUAGAAUUGUAGUUAUAUUACACUAGGCAUUGUUCAGAGGCAAAUCUGUUUUGAUUGAAAAAAUUAUAUUUCUUGGGCUUCCUCCAUUAUCAGUCUAUUCAGUCUACACCACAAAUCAAAAUGAAAAUGAAAGAGAUCACCAUUUCCCUCUGAAAUGCACCAUCUAAAGAGCCAAAAAAAACCCAUUAACCACCUCGAAGAUUAGAAAUCCCAAUCAAACAAAAGCAAUGAAUAGAUGAGAAAAGAGAUGAUACUUUAGUGGCAGAUCCAACUUCAGCUUCAUAUAUAGGGAUAUCGUUCCUGCUCACUAUGAUAAAACAGGCUGUGGUUGCCAUCUCUUGUAAUGCAGAUGCCUUCGUUGCUUGCAGAGUCUCCGGUCUGCACCAAAACGACUUGAACGAUAAUGGUGAUCAUUCGGCUUCCUCUUUCGAAUGUCGACAGUUAGCCGAAGAUUUGUUCUAAUUUGGGCUUGGGCCUCGGCCUACGAAGUCAUCUGAGGCCUGAAUGAACGGCCCAGAUUGAGAACCCAGUAGGCAGUAUCGUCCAUAUCUCGGCACCGGUUCAACGCGCUGCCCGGAGGAGAUGGAAACGAAACCUAACUGGUAGGGAGGAACUGGGCAAGAAAGUGAAGGAAAGUAGUAGAACUGUCAGGUAGAAAAUGGGAAGCGAGGCAAAGAGCAAUAGCAGCAGUGGAGGAGGAGGAUUCAGGUCAAAAAUAGAUAAUUUCUUGUACAGUGGAGACAAGAAGCAUGUCUUGGCUGGUAUCGCCAUCAUCAGUGUUGCUUUUGGCGUCCCCUGGUACCUCAUGAGCCGAGGUUUUUUACUCUGCUUUGAUUACCAUUCUUUUAAAUCUCUUGGAUUUUAUGCUCCUAUGGAAUUUUCCUAAUUGGGAUCUGUUGCUAAUUUUCUUAAUAUUUUUAUUGAUUUUUUUGUUCUUUCUUUCUGUGGGGAAUUGAGGAUGAACUGUGCUUAAGCGGCAAAGGGUUGAACUUUAGUUUGGUUUCAUUUUUUAUUUUCCUUAUUUUUAUUAGAUCAAUGUGAAAAUGUUGGACGGGAAGCAUUAUUUGCUGAAUUUUACUUGGAAUAGUGAAAGGUAGGAGGAACUGAGGAUCAGAACUCUGAUUUUUAGCUUAUUUGAUCAUGGAAUAAAGGGCCCUAUGUUUUGUUCUUAAGAUUUAAUACACAGCAGGAUGUUUCAUUGCAUUGAUUGGGGGAGAGGAGGGAGGGGGGAAAGAACUUAGAAGAGUAAGAAAAUUUUCUUUUGUUUUUUGACCUAAAGCCAAUAAGCACAGUAGAGACUGUCAAUUGGUCAAACUCUUUGUUGUUUAUAAAAUUUUUUGAAAGUUAGUUGGAAAUCUUUCAAGGACUAAGAGUUUCUGUUUUGAUAAGUUUCUGACAAAUUGGUUAUUUGGUAUGCAAGUGUUACAUCAGUUGAGAUCCUUUUUACUGAAAAGCGAAUGGAUAGACUAAAAAGAAUGAAAGGUUAUGCUGUAUCAUUUUUAGGUAGUAUGAGGCUUUAAAAAAGUGCUAAAUGGAUGGUGUCCUUGAUGAUUAAUGUAAAAUAGCAAUUUUAUGUAGUUCAAUUGGAAGAAACGCCUUAAAUAAUUCUAUUUGAAUGUUCAGUGGUUACAAAGGGUAUUGAAUGAGUUAAUUUCUGUUGUAAUCAUUUCCUUGGGGUGGGGUUUACUGUUGUUGAAGGUCAAUAAUCAAUGUCUACAUUUGGGUUCCUGAUUACCUGGAUUUCAUUCAAGAAGUUGUUGCUUUGGUGAGGUUGCA
This 4674-nucleotide unclassified non-coding RNA is filed under the name Hevea brasiliensis (rubber tree). The record is from RNAcentral. Lineage: Eukaryota; Viridiplantae; Streptophyta; Magnoliopsida; Malpighiales; Euphorbiaceae.